Molecule: ribosomal RNA, 433 nt
Filed under: Spinosuncus aureolalis
Lineage: Eukaryota; Metazoa; Arthropoda; Insecta; Lepidoptera; Crambidae
Description: partial 16S ribosomal RNA
Source: RNAcentral
AAAGGGCUGCAGUAUUUUGACUGUACAAAGGUAGCAUAAUCAUUAGUCUCUUAAUUGGUGACUUGUAUGAAAGAUUGGAUGAAAUAUAUACUGUCUCUUAUUUAUAUUAAGAAUUUAAUUUUUUAAUUAAAAAGUUAAAAUAAAUUUAAAAGACGAGAAGACCCUAUAGAGUUUUAUAUUUAUUUUAAUUGAGGUUAUAUAUUUAAGUAAUAAUUAAAAUUAUUAUAAAUAUUUUGUUGGGGUGAUAGAAAAAUAAAAAUAACUUUUUUUAAAUAAAAUCAUAAAUAAAUGAAUAAAUGAUCCAAAAAUUUUGAUUAAAAGAUUAAAUUACCUUAGGGAUAACAGCGUAAUUUUUUUUUUUAGUUCAAAUAAAAAAAAGAGUUUGCGACCUCGAUGUUGGAUUAAGAUAAAAUUUAUAUGCAAAAGUAUAAAA